UUGGGUGAAAUCAAUGUAGGACCUGCACUUUGAAAACGGAACCCACAUAAAGUGGUGGGACAUACAUUAAUUUUCACCCAA
Molecule: microRNA precursor, 81 nt
Filed under: Medicago truncatula (barrel medic)
Lineage: Eukaryota; Viridiplantae; Streptophyta; Magnoliopsida; Fabales; Fabaceae
Description: MIR5269 microRNA precursor family
Rfam family: MIR5269 microRNA precursor family
Source: Rfam by way of RNAcentral